AUGCUCAUUGGUUGUGUGAACGUUCCGAUCAGCCUUGCCAGGGGAGCACUGCGCAUGCGUUUUCCUUCUGAUCGCCGCCAUUCUCCGCUCCCGGCGCUGUUUCUGGUGGUGGCUCCAGGUGGCUCCGCUUUGCCUCUCUGUGAGCCUCCAUCGUUAGCGUCGUUACCGAGUUCUCAGGACGACCAGACGCCUCACAGCUGGACAGUGUUACAGGUGUUGGUGUCAUUUGAAGACCUGGAUUUGGACUUCACCAAGGAGGAAUGGCAGAACAUGAAUCAUUCUCAGAGGACCCUAUACAGGGAUGUGAUGCUAGAAAUCUAUAGCAUCGUGCUGUCCUUGGGGGACCUGAUGAAAUACCAGCUGGAGAGAAACCUCAUGGGCCUAAUGUCACUGGGAACUCACUCCAAUACUCGGAACAUCUUAGUCAGCAUCACCAGAUUCAGAAUAUACAGCAGGCUUUUGAACACAAUGGCCAAGGGAAAACCCGUAACAGGAAGAGAAUAUCCUUUGCAUGUGAGAGGAUUUGUAUGGAAUACACCUCUAAUAAAUCAACUGUUAUUUCAGGAAACAAAACUCUGGUUGAAAGUAAAAAUUUCCAUAAAAAUGUCUCAUUAA
RNAcentral lists this long non-coding RNA (615 nucleotides) under Oryctolagus cuniculus (rabbit). RNAcentral's name for it is "lncRNA (ENSOCUG00000031417.1)". The record is from RNAcentral. Lineage: Eukaryota; Metazoa; Chordata; Mammalia; Lagomorpha; Leporidae.